RNAcentral lists this transfer RNA (84 nucleotides) under Cordylochernes scorpioides. RNAcentral's name for it is "tRNA-Leu". Lineage: Eukaryota; Metazoa; Arthropoda; Arachnida; Pseudoscorpiones; Chernetidae. The record is from RNAcentral.
AGUCAGAUGUGGGGUUCGAACCCACGCCCUCACUAAAGGACCAGAACUUAAGUCUGGCGCCUUAGACCACUCGGCCAAUCUGAC